CAUGCCAGUCGAUCGGUAGCACUUAGGAGCUUGCUCCUUGGGUGACCAGUGGCGGACCGGUGAGUAAUGUCUGGGGAUCUGCCCGAUGGAGGGGGAUAACUACUGGAAACUGUGGCUAAUACCUCAUAACGUCGCAGGACCAAAGUGGGGGACCUUCGGGCCUCACACCAUCGGAUGAACCCAGAUGGGAUUAGCUAGUAGGUGGGGUAACGGCUCACCUAAGCUACAAUCCCUAACUGGUCUGAGAGGAUGACCCUCCACACUGGAACUGACACACGGCCCAAACUCCUACGGGAGGCAGCAGUGGGGAAUAUUGCACAAUGGGCGCAAGCCUGAUGCACCCAUGCCGCGUGUAUGAAGAAGGCCUUCGGGUUGUAAAGUACUUUCAGCGGGGAGGAAGGGAUGAUGCUUAAUACGCACCGUCAUUGACGUUCCCCGCAGAAUAAUCACCGGUUAACUCCGUGCCACCAACCGCGGAAAUACGGAGGGUGCAAGCGUUAAUCGGAAUUACUGGGCGUAAAGCGCACGCACGCGGUCUGUCAAGUCGUGAUGUGAAAUCCCCGCGGUUAACCUGGGAACUGCAUUCUAAACUGGCUUGCUAGAGUCUUGUACAGGGGGGUAGAAUUCCAGUGUAGCGCUGAUAUGCGUAGUAUAUCUGGAGGAAUACCGGUGGCGAAGGCGAGCCCCCUGGACAAAGACUGUCGCUCAGAUGUGAAAGCGUGUGGAGCAAACAGGAUUAGAUACCCUGGUAGUCCACCGCUGUAAACGAUGUGUAGUUGGAGGUUGUGCCCCUGAGGCGUGGCUUCCGGAGCUAACGCGUUAAGUCGACCCCCUGGGGAGUACGGCCGCAAGGUUAAAACUCAAAUGAAUUGACGGGGGCCCGCACAAGCGGUGGAGCAUGUGGUUUAAUUCGAUGCAACGCGAAGAACCUUACCUGGCCUUGACAUCCACGGAAUUUGGCAGAGAUGCCUUAGUGCCUUUGGGAACUGUGAGACAGGUGGUGCAUGGCUGUCGUCAGCUCGUGUUGUGAAAUGUUGGGUUAAGUCCCGCAACGAGCGCAACCCUUAUCCUUUGUUGCCAGCGAUUCGGUCGGGAACUCAAAGGAGACUGCCGGUGAUAAACCGGAGGAAGGUGGGGAUGACGUCAAGUCAUCAUGGCCCUUACGGCCAGGGCUACACUUGUUCUACAAUGUCGCAUACAAAGAGAAGAGUCCUCGCGAGAGCAAGCGGACCUCAUAAACUGCGUGGCAGUCCGGAUUGGAGUAUGCAACUGGACUCCACGAAGUAGGAAUCGCUAGGAAUGGUAGAUCAGAAUGCUACGGUGAAUACGUUCCCGGCCCUUGUACACAC
This 1349-nucleotide ribosomal RNA is filed under the name uncultured bacterium. RNAcentral describes it as "bacterial SSU rRNA". It matches the Rfam family "Bacterial small subunit ribosomal RNA", at positions 54 to 1390 of the family's 1533-position model. The record is from RNAcentral.